UACGCCAUGUGGUGGCGAUGCCACUUUUGCUGUGUUGGCUGUGUUGCAUAACCACAAUGAUUAAAACACUCAACACAAUUCGUUAGUACUGUAAUAGCACUGUUGCCUUAAAAUCAAAUAAAUAUAUUUGAAAAAGGGAAGUUUCGCGCCGAUGGCCCUUCUGCAUAGCACAAUACGUGGAUUGAGGUGAUUCGCGGAUUCAAGGAAUCGAUUACUCGCGUGGUGGAAAUGGCGGGAAACGCGGAGCUGGAGGAGACGCUGCGGGAAUUGCGGUCCCUGUGCGGGACCCUCGAUGAGGUGGUGUCCGAGUUCAGGGGAACCAAGGAGGCGCUGGAAGAGGCGUGCGUCAUCCAGGAACACCUCAACCAGAGUGUGAAGCCCAUCCAAGCUGGGUUCCUGAAGCCCACAUUCACCACAAGCCUGGGUCUACAAAGUGUGACUCAAGCGGAAAACGAUUAAUUGCCUCAAAGCGUUACACACUUGUUAAUGUAAAGUAUCCAAUUAUAUACGCAUGUGUACAUGCCUAUCACCAAAUCUCCCAAAAUGAGCCCGGUCCCAUCAUAAUUGAAGCUAAGCAUGCUUGAGCCUGGACAGUGCUUGGAUGUGUGACCGCCGUGGAUGAAAUGGGUUUAAAUAGGUGGUGUGGGCAGGAGAGUGCAGUCCAACAACAUCCACCGUUUGUACUCCCACCUUCAACAAACCGCAAUGACUGGCCAUAAAUACUGACUGGUCAAAAUAACUCUGACUGCCUGCAGGUCAUGGGAAAGUCCUCAUCCAGUAAUGGUUUGACAUGCACAAUAUGUAUAUAGAUCAAUACAGCAUUAGAUGCCUUUAUAGAGCAGUGGAUUCACAAAGAGCUGUCAAUGUAAUGUGUACAUAAAGUGAACAUUUGUUAUCAUAAAUGUGCUGUGCGUG
This is a long non-coding RNA of Petromyzon marinus (sea lamprey), 915 nucleotides long. RefSeq lists it as uncharacterized. NCBI's taxonomy places the organism in Eukaryota, Metazoa, Chordata, Hyperoartia, Petromyzontiformes, Petromyzontidae. The record is from RefSeq and is a predicted model, not a curated record.